RNAcentral lists this ribosomal RNA (459 nucleotides) under uncultured bacterium. Its description in RNAcentral is "SSU rRNA". It matches the Rfam family "Bacterial small subunit ribosomal RNA", at positions 26 to 518 of the family's 1533-position model. The record is from RNAcentral.
AGGACGAACGCUGGCGGCGUGCUUAACACAUGCAAGUCGAGCGGUGAUCCUCCUUCGGGAGGUGAUCAGCGGCGAACGGGUGAGUAACACGUGACUAACCUACCCUUGAGUGGGGGAUAACCUAGAGAAAUCUGGGCUAAUACCGCAUAAUACCUUCGGGUCAAAGGAGCAAUUCGCUUAAGGAGGGGGUCGCGGCCGAUUAGUUAGUUGGCGGGGUAAUGGCCCACCAAGACUGUGAUCGGUAUCCGGCCUGAGAGGGCGCACGGACACACUGGAACUGAAACACGGUCCAGACUCCUACGGGAGGCAGCAGUGGGGAAUUUUGCGCAAUGGGGGAAACCCUGACGCAGCAACGCCGCGUGGAGGAUGAAGCCCCUUGGGGCGUAAACUCCUUUCGAUCGGGAAGAUAAUGACGGUACCGAGAGAAGAAGCCCCGGCUAACUUCGUGCCAGCAGCCGC